RNAcentral lists this ribosomal RNA (497 nucleotides) under uncultured bacterium. Its description in RNAcentral is "partial 16S ribosomal RNA". It matches the Rfam family "Bacterial small subunit ribosomal RNA", at positions 28 to 507 of the family's 1533-position model. The record is from RNAcentral.
GAUGAACGCUGGCGGCGUGCCUAAUACAUGCAAGUCGAGCGAACAGACGAGGAGCUUGCUCCUCUGACGUUAGCGGCGGACGGGUGAGUAACACGUGGAUAACCUACCUAUAAGACUGGGAUAACUUCGGGAAACCGGAGCUAAUACCGGAUAAUAUAUUGAACCGCAUGGUUCAAUAGUGGAAGACGGUUUUGCUGUCACUUAUAGAUGGAUCCGCGCCGCAUUAGCUAGUUGGUAAGGUAACAGCUUACCAAGGCAACGAUGCGUAGCCGACCUGAGAGGGUGAUCGGCCACACUGGAACUGAGACACGGUCCAGACUCCUACGGGAGGCAGCAGUAGGGAAUCUUCCGCAAUGGGCGAAAGCCUGACGGAGCAACGCCGCGUGAGUGAUGAAGGUCUUCGGAUCGUAAAACUCUGUUAUUAGGGAAGAACAAAUGUGUAAGUAACUAUGCACGUCUUGACGGUACCUAAUCAGAAAGCCACGGCUAACUACGUG